Rosa rugosa (rugosa rose) is the source of this 188-nucleotide small nucleolar RNA. RefSeq annotates it as small nucleolar RNA snoR127. The transcript has a single exon. NCBI's taxonomy places the organism in Eukaryota, Viridiplantae, Streptophyta, Magnoliopsida, Rosales, Rosaceae. The record is from RefSeq and is a predicted model, not a curated record.
CUGGGAUGAUGCAAAUUAGCCAAAUCAUACGGCGAUAUGCUCCAAGAGGCAUUUUCUCCUAACCUUUGUUCUUACUAGGGAGGCGGGUGUCUCUCUUCUAUGGACUUGAUAAGGCUUUGGAAAUUUGCCUUUUGUUGAAGUGUAUCCUCUCUGAUGAUAAAACCGAGAUUGGGUGCUGGCUGACCAGA